GCUGGGCAUGGUGGUGCAUGGCUGUAAUCUCAGCUUCUUGGGAGGCUGAGGCAGGAGGAUAUCAAGUUUGAAGCCAGCCUCAGCAACUUAGUGAGACCCUACCUCAA
This 107-nucleotide small RNA is filed under the name Marmota monax (woodchuck). Lineage: Eukaryota; Metazoa; Chordata; Mammalia; Rodentia; Sciuridae. The record is from RNAcentral.